This is a long non-coding RNA of Solea senegalensis (Senegalese sole), 1342 nucleotides long. RefSeq lists it as uncharacterized. NCBI's taxonomy places the organism in Eukaryota, Metazoa, Chordata, Actinopteri, Pleuronectiformes, Soleidae. The transcript has 3 exons. The record is from RefSeq and is a predicted model, not a curated record.
UUGAAGGGCUGUAGAAGACUGACAUGAAACUGUCUGAACCAUUUGUACACUGGCUUACUGGGUCAAAGUUUGGAUUGAUUGAUUUGAUUUGACCAUUAUUGAUAUAGUAUGAAUCAAGCACUCUGUGUGUCAUAGAUUCAAAUACAAAAUAGUCAGGGAUGACACAAUAAAGCCCAUAGGCUCAUUUCCAUUGUGGUCCCUAGCACAAUGGAAUCAUUCUGGGCACAGUCAUAGUAAAAUAGUACAAUGUAAAUAGAAUAGAAUAUAGGCUAUACAUAAUUGCUUUAUAAUUUAGCAGUCCAGCAUAUGAUAAAUGGAGAGGGAGAGUAGUGAUUCAUUGUUAUUUAAACCUGCAUGCCUAUGAAGCCCAUUUGAAUUGAAUUGAAUUGAAAUGAGUAGUGUGAACGGUCAGUAUGUUGGUAGUCUUAAGUAUGAUGUCAACGUUCUGAUGAGGAGAACACAGAUGUCAAAUCUAGGCUGUUCAAUUCUGAAUAGUUGGUUCAAAGUGUUUUCUCUCCAACAGGUCCUUCAAUUGUCUUCUUCCAUUUGUCCCUCCUUGAAGCAUCGUUUCUAAAACGCAAACCAAAGGCACUUUUUAGAGCCACGUCUGUCUGUCUUGUUAUCCUGCCCGUGCUGUGUUGUACUUGUCAGUCUUUCUGUUGCUGUUUGUGUAUCUUUCUGUCAGUAUUAAGUUCUUGUCUGUAAAAAAAUAUCUUGUUAUCUGUCUUGUUUUUGUUUAUAUCAGUGUGUGUCAUGACACGUCCAAAGUUCAGGCCCUGUCCAUCUUGCCAGACACUCAAUGCUGCAAGCCUCAAAACUUGCAGCAUGUGUUAUGUGAGCCUGUCAAUGAAGAAGAAGUUGAAGGAAAAGACAGCAUCAUUGGACAGCAAGUGGGGUCAAGGUAUCGUCCCAAACCGGAAUGUUGGCCGCAUUAUUGAUUCAGCCGGUAUUGCAGUGCGAAAACUUGAGGCCAUAGGCUACAAGCCCAUUUUAUUUAUGGGAAAAAAGACAAGAAGGCCUCUAACAAGUGGGUAGCUGACAUAAUAACCCAUUUGCCCCUCACAUCUACCACCAAAAACUUCUUGGAGAAGAUGAGGAGGGCUUAUGAAUUUCUUUUGACUAAGGAACCGCAGCCCAACACUGACCCAUCAGCAGAGCCUGAUAACCCCACCAUGGAGCAGGGUGACAGCCCCGUCGAGGGUAUGGGCCACAGCCAGGACGAGGAGCAGCACAGCAGCCUCGCCAUGGAGCAACGUGACCACACCUAGGAGACUGUAUUUGUCCUGAACCUUGUCCCUUGUCCGUCUCUCUCUUCUUCUUCUUCUUCUACCUCUACCACUGU